GCAGAACGCGAAGAACCUUACCAGCUCUUGACAUGUCUCGUAUGGGUACCGGAGACGGUAUCCUUCAGUUCGGCUGGCGAGAACACAGGUGCUGCAUGGCUGUCGUCAGCUCGUGUCGUGAGAUGUUGGGUUAAGUCCCGCAACGAGCGCAACCCUCGCCUCUAGUUGCCAUCAUUCAGUUGGGCACUCUAGAGGGACUGCCGGUGAUAAGCCGAGAGGAAGGUGGGGAUGACGUCAAGUCCUCAUGGCCCUUACGGGCUGGGCUACACACGUGCUACAAUGGCGGUGACAAUGGGCAGCGAAGGGGCGACCCGGAGCUAAUCUCAAAAAGCCGUCUCAGUUCGGAUUGUACUCUGCAACUCGAGUGCAUGAAGUUGGAAUCGCUAGUAAUCGUGGAUCAGCAUGCCACGGUGAAUACGUUCCCGGGUCUUGUACACACC
RNAcentral lists this ribosomal RNA (440 nucleotides) under uncultured bacterium. RNAcentral's name for it is "bacterial SSU rRNA". It matches the Rfam family "Bacterial small subunit ribosomal RNA", at positions 954 to 1391 of the family's 1533-position model. The record is from RNAcentral.